This 240-nucleotide unclassified non-coding RNA is filed under the name soil metagenome. RNAcentral's name for it is "partial contains 5.8S ribosomal RNA, internal transcribed spacer 2, and large subunit ribosomal RNA". The record is from RNAcentral.
AAGACUAUAGACCUGCGGAGUACCUGCGGAAGGAUCAUCAACAAAUCCAACCAAAACCACACACACCUUAUUGUGAACUGUUUGUUCUCUUUGUCCUCUUAACCACCCCUUUCCCUCGGGAAGGGGGGACCGGAGCGGGGGACAAAGGAGAAACUUUCCAACCCAAUUUAUUCACCCCAUACCAAUUCUCGUAAAUCGAGCCUAAGUUUUACGUUUUUUCUUUGCUUCCUUUCCUUUAAC